UUGUAAUUGGCGCUUUCGCACUGCUGUCAACGCACGCAAAAUGCGGGAGGAUCCCAGCAGGAAAGGAACUCCAGUGUUUAGGACCAAGGGUCGGCCAGCCGUAGUGAAGUAAAUAAAAUGCGGAACGACCAAGUUGCCAGAUUUGGAGAUAAAGGAGGUCACAGAAAAAGUGAGGCUGAAGUCCUGGAGAGAUUUGAAAUCGAAAUGAGAAUGUUAAACUGAAGCACUGCCAAACCGAAGCCAUUAUGGACAGUGGGGACAAAUGACUGGCAACUGGCAGGAGACUGGAUACGAAGGAUAAGGUCGCAUUCAGCAAAUGAGAAGAGCGAACUAACAAUCAGCAACAAGACUUUUGCCUCACUCGUUACUUCCUAAGAACAUCUGGAUUGCAAAACCAUCAGGAUCUAACACCACUCCCCCCAAGAUUCUACCACGUCCACACACAUAGGGGAAAUGUACAGUGGACAAAUAAUCUACUCAUCUUUGGGAUGUGGGAGGAAGUCCAAACAGCCACUGGAAGAAUGUAGAAACUCCCAUCCACACAGAUAUCACUCAUGGUCCGUAUAGAUCAACUCCCACUCACCUGCUAUUUGUUCAGAGCCCCAAAUUUGGAAUCUUCUUGCUCAGUGCAUUGAAAAAAAUUCAGGAAACCCCUUUAAAACAAAAGUAACAGCCCUAUAUUUGAACCCUUGUAUCAUUCUUCAAGUGCCUCCAAGAGGACCUCAACCUUGUUGUGGUUUGGAGGUUUAUGUGCCUCAAUAACCCAGAGAGCUAUGGUUGCUGGAGUUGGGGCUUUAUGCUUUGGCUGUUGGUAGGGUCGCCAUGCCAAACAAGUCAAGGGGUAGAGGCCAGACUAAGAGUGGUCCACCUGUCCUCUAGAUUCAGGGGUUCAGCUCAGGGCUAACAACCCUGACUGGUAAAACAAAACUGCUAUGGAAACUGCAAUGAAGAAUCCUUCUACAUCUGAGUGUGCUGGUGUUCCUGAGUCUUUAAUGGAACUUGCAUGACUGACAGUGGGAGAACCAAGCUACUGACACGAUGAAGGAAGCCCUGGACACCGUUAGAGAUGGAGAACCUCCACUGCUGCCCUAAACACCAGCAGCAUAGCGGGCAGUAGAGAGAUUCUUCAAGUGACAAUGAACAUCCAUAACUUCUGCUUUGUUCCCAGCCUGAAGCUGGGAUUGGGCGCGAACAGCCUUCAGUGCUCUUGUUUCACUCAGGAAGAUUAAAUCCAGCUGUGGAUGGGCUGGACUUUACUGUAUGGUGUGCGAGUGCUAGAAGUAAAUGGUUUUUCAAAUCAUGAGCACGUCAAUAAAAUUGCAGUACCUCCGGAUUUGUUUCCAACCCUGACAAACUUGGUUAAUCAUCAGAGAUUAUGCCAGAGCUUAUUUUCAAAUGUAAUAAAUUUGCAGCUUUGUGACUACUAGAUCUUAAUUCCUGGUUUGUUGGAGUGCCUUGUGGUGCAGGGAAAUGUUCCCUCCAGAAUAGAGAGGGAACUGAAAUCUAAGUUUCAGUUGGCUGAAUUUGUCACAGAAGCCAGCCAGUAUCAGAAUCAGGUUUAAUAUCACUGGCAUACAUUGGAAAAUUUGAUAACUUUGCAGCAGCAGUACAAUGCAAUACAUGAUAAUAGAAAGAAAAAAAAACUGAAUUACAGUAAUAUAUGUACCUACAGUAAUUCAUAGUUCUCUUUUUUUUACUCUCUCUCUCUCCUAUGUGUAUGUACAAAGCUACUCAAGCUCUGUCAGACUGCAUGGGGAUUGUGAGUGAACAGACCUUUUCAAGUCCAGCCACAAAUUCUCAAUUGGACUAAGUUCUGGACUCUGACUUGGCCACUCCAGGACAUUAACUUUGUUUUUAAGCCAUUCCUAUCUAGCUUUGGCUUUGUGCUUGGGCUCAUUGUCUUGCUGGAAAACAAAUCUCCCAAGUCACAGUUGAUUUGCAGACUGCAGCAGGUUUUCCUCCAGGAUUUCCCUGUAUUUUGCUGUA
Molecule: long non-coding RNA, 1986 nt
Organism: Mobula hypostoma (lesser devil ray)
Lineage: Eukaryota; Metazoa; Chordata; Chondrichthyes; Myliobatiformes; Myliobatidae
Exons: 3
Source: RefSeq, a predicted model, not a curated record